RNAcentral lists this ribosomal RNA (496 nucleotides) under uncultured bacterium. RNAcentral's name for it is "partial 16S ribosomal RNA". It matches the Rfam family "Bacterial small subunit ribosomal RNA", at positions 28 to 506 of the family's 1533-position model. The record is from RNAcentral.
GACGAACGCUGGCGGCGUGCCUAAUACAUGCAAGUAGAACGCUGAAGAGAGGAGCUUGCUCUUCUUGGAUGAGUUGCGAACGGGUGAGUAACGCGUAGGUAACCUGCCUGGUAGCGGGGGAUAACUAUUGGAAACGAUAGCUAAUACCGCAUAAAAUUGAUUAUUGCAUGAUAAUUAAUUGAAAGAUGCAACUGCAUCACUACCAGAUGGACCUGCGUUGUAUUAGCUAGUUGGUGAGGUAACGGCUCACCAAGGCGACGAUACAUAGCCGACCUGAGAGGGUGAUCGGCCACACUGGGACUGAGACACGGCCCAGACUCCUACGGGAGGCAGCAGUAGGGAAUCUUCGGCAAUGGGGGGAACCCUGACCGAGCAACGCCGCGUGAGUGAAGAAGGUUUUCGAAUCGUAAAGCUCUGUUGUAAGAGAAGAACGGGUGUGAGAGUGGAAAGUUCACACUGUGACGGUAUCUGACCAGAAAGGGACGGCUAACUACGU